GGGUUGUGAGGUUAAGCGACUAAGCGUACACGGUGGAUGCCCUGGCAGUCAGAGGCGAUGAAGGGCGUGCUAAUCUGCGAUAAGCGCCGGUAAGGUGAUAUGAACCGUUAUAACCGGCGAUACCCGAAUGGGGAAACCCAGUGUGAUUCGUCACACUAUCAUUAACUGAAUCCAUAGGUUAAUGAGGCGAACCGGGGGAACUGAAACAUCUAAGUACCCCGAGGAAAAGAAAUCAACCGAGAUUCCCCCAGUAGCGGCGAGCGAACGGGGAGGAGCCCAGAGCCUGAAUCAGCAUGUGUGUUAGUGGAAGCGUCUGGAAAGGCGCGCGAUACAGGGUGACAGCCCCGUACACAAAAAGCGCAUGUGCUGUGAGCUCGAUGAGUAGGGCGGGACACGUGGUAUCCUGUCUGAAUAUGGGGGGACCAUCCUCCAAGGCUAAAUACUCCUGACUGACCGAUAGUGAACCAGUACCGUGAGGGAAAGGCGAAAAGAACCCCGGCGAGGGGAGUGAAAAAGAACCUGAAACCGUGUACGUACAAGCAGUGGGAGCACCCUUCGGGGUGUGACUGCGUACCUUUUGUAUAAUGGGUCAGCGACUUAUAUUCUGUAGCAAGGUUAACCGUAUAGGGGAGCCGGAGGGAAACCGAGUCUUAAUUGGGCGUUAAGUUGCAGGGUAUAGACCCGAAACCCGGUGAUCUAGCCAUGGGCAGGUUGAAGGUUGGGUAACACUAACUGGAGGACCGAACCGACUAAUGUUGAAAAAUUAGCGGAUGACCUGUGGCUGGGGGUGAAAGGCCAAUCAAACCGGGAGAUAGCUGGUUCUCCCCGAAAGCUAUUUAGGUGGCGCCUCGUGAAUUCAUCUCCGGGGUAGAGCACUGUUUCGGCUAGGGGCCAUCCCGGCUUACCAACCCGAUGCAAACUGCGAAUACCGGAGAAUGUUAUCACGGGAGACACACGGCGGGUGCUAACGUCCGUCGUGAAGAGGGAAAACAACCCAGACCGCCAGCUAAGGUCCCAAAGUCAUGGUUAAGUGGGAAACGAUGUGGGAAGGCCCAGACAGCCGGGGAUGUUGGCUUAGAAGCAGCCAUCAUUUAAAAGAAAGCGUAAUAGCUCACUGGUCGAGUCGGCCUGCGCGGAAGAUGUAACGGGGCUAAACCAUGCACCGAAGUUGCGGCAGCGAACGUAUCACCCAAGACAACUUUACGGAGUUGACGAUUGACGGAGCGAAGCGACGUCAAAGCGUUCAUUAAAGUCGAGUUGGCUUAGGGAUACGUUCGUUGGGUAGGAGAGCGUUCUGUAAGCCUGUGAAGGUGUGUCGUGAGGCAUGCUGGAGGUAUCAGAAGUGCGAAUGCUGACAUAAGUAACGAUAAAGCGGGUGAAAAGCCCGCUCGCCGGAAGACCAAGGGUUCCUGUCCAACGUUAAUCGGGGCAGGGUGAGUCGACCCCUAAGGCGAGGCCGAAAGGCGUAGUCGAUGGGAAACGGGUUAAUAUUCCCGUACUUGGUGUUACUGCGAAGGGGACGGAGAAGGCUAUGUUGGCCGGGCGACGGUUGUCCCGGUUUAAGCGUGUAGGUGUGUGUUCCAGGUAAAUCCGGUUCACUUUAACACUGAGGCGUGACGACGAGGCACUACGGUGCUGAAGCAACAAAUGCCCUGCUUCCAGGAAAAGCCUCUAAGCAUCAGGUAACACGAAAUCGUACCCCAAACCGACACAGGUGGUCAGGUAGAGAAUACCAAGGCGCUUGAGAGAACUCGGGUGAAGGAACUAGGCAAAAUGGUGCCGUAACUUCGGGAGAAGGCACGCUGACACGUAGGUGAAGUGAUUUACUCAUGGAGCUGAAGUCAGUCGAAGAUACCAGCUGGCUGCAACUGUUUAUUAAAAACACAGCACUGUGCAAACACGAAAGUGGACGUAUACGGUGUGACGCCUGCCCGGUGCCGGAAGGUUAAUUGAUGGGGUCAGCGUAAGCGAAGCUCCUGAUCGAAGCCCCGGUAAACGGCGGCCGUAACUAUAACGGUCCUAAGGUAGCGAAAUUCCUUGUCGGGUAAGUUCCGACCUGCACGAAUGGCGUAAUGAUGGCCAGGCUGUCUCCACCCGAGACUCAGUGAAAUUGAACUCGCUGUGAAGAUGCAGUGUACCCGCGGCAAGACGGAAAGACCCCGUGAACCUUUACUAUAGCUUGACACUGAACAUUGAGCCUUGAUGUGUAGGAUAGGUGGGAGGCUUUGAAGUGUGGACGCCAGUCUGCAUGGAGCCGACCUUGAAAUACCACCCUUUAAUGUUUGAUGUUCUAACGUGGACCCGUAAUCCGGGUUGCGGACAGUGUCUGGUGGGUAGUUUGACUGGGGCGGUCUCCUCCUAAAGAGUAACGGAGGAGCACGAAGGUUGGCUAAUGCUGGUCGGACAUCAGGAGGUUAGUGCAAUGGCAUAAGCCAGCUUGACUGCGAGCGUGACGGCGCGAGCAGGUGCGAAAGCAGGUCAUAGUGAUCCGGUGGUUCUGAAUGGAAGGGCCAUCGCUCAACGGAUAAAAAGGUACUCCGGGGAUAACAGGCUGAUACCGCCCAAGAGUUCAUAUCGACGGCGGUGUUUGGCACCUCGAUGUCGGCUCAUCACAUCCUGGGGCUGAAGUAGGUCCCAAGGGUAUGGCUGUUCGCCAUUUAAAGUGGUACGCGAGCUGGGUUUAGAACGUCGUGAGACAGUUCGGUCCCCUAUCGGCCGUGGGCGCUGGAGAACUGAGGGCGGCUGCUCCUAGUACGAGAGGACCGGAGUGGACGCAUCACUGGUGUUCGGGUUGUCAUGCCAAUGGCACUGCCCGGUAGCUAAAUGCGGAAGAGAUAAGUGCUGAAAGCAUCUAAGCACGAAACUUGCCCCGAGAUGAGUUCUCCCUGAGACUUAGAGUCUCCUGAAGGAACGUUGAAGACGACGACGUUGAUAGGCCGGGUGUGUAAGCGCAGCGAUGCGUUGAGCUAACCGGUACUAAUGAACCGUGAGGCUUAACCUUACAACGCCGAAG
This 3013-nucleotide ribosomal RNA is filed under the name Salmonella enterica subsp. enterica serovar 1,4,[5],12:i:-. Its description in RNAcentral is "23S ribosomal RNA". It matches the Rfam family "Bacterial large subunit ribosomal RNA". The record is from RNAcentral. Lineage: Bacteria; Pseudomonadati; Pseudomonadota; Gammaproteobacteria; Enterobacterales; Enterobacteriaceae.